CUAAAUUGCCCAGGUUGGGCUCCAACUUGUGAGCCUCCCAGAUUGCUGAGAUUACAAUGUGUCACCAUGCCCAGCUGCCUGAGUGAGUGUCUUAAACUCUCCUGUUGCUCUUUUCCUAUUUGCAGAACAGCAUCUUCUCCAAACCGCAGCUAAACUCCCGUAAGAAUUUACCAAGGGCAGGCUGUUUCCUCAGUACGUUGCCUGAUACAACUAAGUGGAUGCUUGCCCUAACCCUGUGAAAGAACUGCUGCUCCCACUUCACGGAUGAUGAGCAGGGAGGACAGCAUCGUAAGGGUGGGAUGAGAUGAAAGACCUAGAGAUGGGGAGACACUCCAGAUGGAUCCUGAAUAUCCACCACAAUCCUUAAAAGAGAGAUGCUGGAGGGUCAGAAGUGGACAGAAGGUGAUGAGAGGAUGACAGCAGGGCCUGGAGUGAUACAUGUUGAAGAGGAAGGAAGGGGCCAUGAGCCAAUGGAUGCAGGUGGCUGCUACAGCCUGGCAGAGGCCUACCUGGAAACAAAGUCUACCCUGGAUCCUCCAGCAGGAAGCAGCCCUGUGAACACCCUGAUCGUAACCCAGUGAAGCUGAUUUGGUACUUCCAGCUGCCGGAGCUGUAAGGAAAUGAACUGUGUUGCUUCAAGCCACUGUGUUUGUGCUCAUGUGUUAUGGUAGCAAAAGGAAACUCAUACAACCUAUCAACUUUUCUCCUUUCCCAUUGCCCCUCCCUGGCUUUAUUUCCAACGCACUGCAACUUCUUCCUAAGGGUCUCCUGCCUCCAGCUUUGCCUCCUCUGAGGCUUCCUCCAUGAGACCACCAAAGUGCUUGCCCCUCAUUCACAUCCUUGGGGGCUCUUCCGUUUGGAGGAGAAGAGAACACCAGGCCUGUCCUCAGCUCAGCUUUUAGACUUGGCCCUGCCCACCUCUCUCUACUUCAGACUUCCAGCUGCCAGAUUUCUAAACGCAUUCCAUGGUUUAAUAUACCUACAUUUCUGUUCUUUCCUGCAAGAAUAGGUUCCCUUUGCUUUUUUUUUCCUACUGAACUAUUGUCCGUACAGCAAAACCCAAUACAGACAUAACUUCCUCCACGAAGCCUUUUCCAACUCUUUUUCUCCUCGUGGAGUUAAUGACAGAUUUCUCUGACCUCACUCAAUCUUGAUUCUUUGAUUCCAUUGUUG
This 1173-nucleotide long non-coding RNA is filed under the name Heterocephalus glaber (naked mole-rat). RNAcentral's name for it is "lncRNA (ENSHGLG00100049359.1)". Lineage: Eukaryota; Metazoa; Chordata; Mammalia; Rodentia; Bathyergidae. The record is from RNAcentral.